GUCCUUUCGUCUGUAUAAAACAAUGCGGUAAGGUUGUCAAUAAGGCAACUAUCUUUAGACUAAAGAACAAAGUUUGUUUUUCUUUCUGUGUAACAUAGUCAUCUUUUUUGUUAGUUGUUGUUCCAAUAUUUAGCAAAUCCAGUGAAUAUAACGCUAAUAGGAAUUUGGCUAAAUUGAUUCGAACUAACAACCCACAAAUGAAGUGUAGAAAAUAAACCAAACCUUUAUGGAAAGAUUAAAUUGGCUUGAGAAAUUUGAGAAUAAAGUAAUGCUUUUGUUAUACCCAUGCAUCGACCUCUAGUUUUCAGUAUCCAAACAUUCGUUAAAAGUCGGCCGAUUCCGUAACACCAUCUAAGAUAACUCCAUUUAAGAUAGAUGGAGAAAAGCGAAGUCACCCGAGGUUAGCCGAUAGCGUAUCCAAUAUAACAAGUCAUAAAGUUAAUUAUACUAAACAUAAUGCAUCUUUUAUAACAAGCCAAUAAACUUCAGGUAAACUAAAUCACGACUUAGAGAUAAGUUUACACAAACAUUAUCAAUAUUUAUUAUCUUAUGUCUGUGAGAAGUGUGUAUGAUUGAAUUAGGGCUACUUACAAACCAAUUUUCUGUUUACUAAUUCAAUUAGCGCGUGUUAAGCAACAUGCAAGAAGUCUUUAACAGGUAUUUGGAUACAAAUGUUAUAUCUUACGUUUUCUCAUACAUCUCUUGAACGACGUUAAUGAGGGUGCGUUUGAAUGAUACACUUAUACUAGGACAAUAUACGUCCCUUGAAAAUUUCGCCACUUCAUACAAAAUAAAUUAAUAAAUAAUGACAAUCAUUAUAAAACAAACAACUAUUAACAUUGAGUAACACGAAACAACUGAAAUACAAAUAGGAAAAUAGAAAAAACGUUCUGAUGCGACCGUUACAAGUAAAAUAUGUAAAAAAAAAAAAAAAAAAACAAGAAAAAAACACAAAAAAAAACAUGAAACUAAAGCUCGGGUCAUAAAAGUUAACAUAAAGGCAGCACAAAAUGCGACUUUUAAUUUUAAUUUUGUUCUAGCUAAGUCAAAAGCUGCAAAAUCUUAAAUCCUAUUACUGUUUACAUUAAUUUCUGUUUUCUUUAAAACGUCUUAUCAUGAACUGCAUUUCGCUACCAAAUACCAAUUGAAAACAAAAGCUGUACAUGUCUUACUAACUAUCCUAGUAUGUUAAUUAUCUGCCUUAAAAUUGAGAAUCGAAAUGGGGAAUGUGUUAAAGAGACAACAACCCCGCCAAAGAGCAGAAAACUGCCGAAGGCCACCAAAGGGUCCGUACCGCAGCCCCUAAAUGAAACUAGUUCAGUGAAAAUGACGUCACACUAAAAUAUAAAACAAAGCUAAGAAACAUGUAUUGACUACCAAAGACCAGAGACUCCGGACUUGGGACAGGCGUAAAAAAAUCAGCGGGGUUAAACAUGUCAGUUUGGGAAAUCUGAGCCCUCCCCUAUACCUUGCAUAUCUAUUAUAGCUAAUACAUGUAUAAAAAUACGUCAUGGCUAAUAUAUAUUUGUUUAUAUUUUUACUUUUAUGUGAUCUUGCAUUUAUGUUGUACUAUUAUAUGUUUGUUUGUAUUGACG
This 1595-nucleotide long non-coding RNA is filed under the name Mytilus galloprovincialis (Mediterranean mussel). Lineage: Eukaryota; Metazoa; Mollusca; Bivalvia; Mytilida; Mytilidae. The record is from RNAcentral.